Mus musculus (house mouse) is the source of this 584-nucleotide long non-coding RNA. RefSeq annotates it as predicted gene, 32504. The transcript is spliced from 3 exons. The record is from RefSeq and is a predicted model, not a curated record. Lineage: Eukaryota; Metazoa; Chordata; Mammalia; Rodentia; Muridae.
UCAUGCUGCGACCCGCUCUGAGGUCUCCCACAAGGAGUGAUCCGACUCCGAGAAUUUAGCCACUGCGAGGUGCUGGCUGCCACCGCAGCCGAACUGGCCGUCCAAGUAGCUGCGGGUCCCGCAAUUCCCCACUGGCGCCUCGGGUGCUUCGGCUGCCGUGAAGCUGGUGGAGUCCGCACGGAACGCUCAGUCCCAUUGGCCUUUCCAGGGGGAUGGCUGCGCUCUCAAUCUCGCAGGCCGGGUUCCCAAGGUUGCUCCGGAGUCCUGCGAGCGCUGAGGUUCACAGUCGUGCGACAGCGGAAUAUGAGAGAGGGAGGAAGAGACUAGAGAGGCAUUGGGAGGAAAAGUGGUCUCAACACUCACUCCGUCCCCCUUCAGGAGUUUGAAGAAGAUCUUAUGCUGAAGCUCCUGGGGUCCUGGAGACUAAAGACUGGAGAAGAGCCGUGCUAAGGUUUGUAGCUGAAUUGGUAGAGUGCCUGUCCCAGCAUUCACAAGGUGGAGGCAAGAAAAUCAGAAAGUCAAGGUCACCCUAGCUUACAUUGUGAAUUCAAAGUUAGCUUGUGAUGAAAUCCUGUCUCAAAGUU